GCACCCUAAAAUGAAGCCAAAGAUAAUCCAGCAGUGAGAAGCGCGGAAUCCAGGGCUUUUUACACUGGAGCUUGGAAAGAAUAGGAGCCCGCAAUGCCCCUUCCCUCCAGUUAAAAGACAAGAAGGACAGAAGGAGGAAGAAAGAAAAGAAAAAAUGCACCUCCACACUCAUAGCAACAACCACGUGACCUGGUGGCCCAGGUUUCCAAGCAGCCAAUCUGCAUGUACACAGAGAGAUCUCCAAGAAAGAAAAGGCGCCAAAAAGCCCAGUUCUGAAUUCUUGGCGGCUCCUCCCCUGAAGCUGCCAGCGGCCCAAGUUCCCACCUAAAGUGCUCGGCUGUUGACCACACUUGGGCACAAACCCAGUUCGUGGAGGAUGCAUCAUCACCCCCUCACCUACAACCUAUAUAAUCUCCCUGCUUUCAUUUGUGGGCGUGGCUUUUCCAGCCUCGAUCUCCGGGACUGGAGAAUUCACCCGGGAGUGGCUUUGCUCAAAUAAACCUGUUGUUACAUUUUU
This is a non-coding RNA of Peromyscus maniculatus bairdii (prairie deer mouse), 517 nucleotides long. NCBI's taxonomy places the organism in Eukaryota, Metazoa, Chordata, Mammalia, Rodentia, Cricetidae. The record is from RefSeq and is a predicted model, not a curated record.